Molecule: unclassified non-coding RNA, 403 nt
Filed under: Hevea brasiliensis (rubber tree)
Lineage: Eukaryota; Viridiplantae; Streptophyta; Magnoliopsida; Malpighiales; Euphorbiaceae
Source: RNAcentral
AAGAUACUUACUUUUCUGACCCCAUUGGUCUCCAUUUUCUCAGGAAUCAGAAAGAAAACUCCAUGGCUAUUUCCUCUGUCUCUUUCCUUCACUUCAUCCUCUUCUUCCUUUCUCUCACCCCUCUAAUCUUCUCUUCACCAUCAUCAAACCUUCCACAGAACUUCAUCGUCCACGUCGCGAAAUCUCACAAGCCAAUCCUCUUCUCCUCUCACCGUGAUUGGUACACAUCAAUCGUCCGAUCCCUCCCUCCCUCCUCCCACCCCACCAAGAUCAUCUACACCUAUGGCCGCGCCAUCAAUGGCUUUUCUGCCCACCUCACUGCAGCCCAGGCAGCAGCACUCCGCCGUGUUCCUGGGGUCCUAUCCAUUGUCCCUGACCAGAUUCGCCAGCUCCACACCACCCG